This is a non-coding RNA of Ciona savignyi (Pacific transparent sea squirt), 120 nucleotides long. The record is from Rfam. NCBI's taxonomy places the organism in Eukaryota, Metazoa, Chordata, Ascidiacea, Phlebobranchia, Cionidae.
GCUUAUUACCAUUCCAGAUUGAAUAUACCCGAUUUUGUUUGAUUUCGGAAGUCAAGCAAUUUCGGGCUUGGUUAGUACUUGGAUGGGUGACCGCUUGGGAAUAACCAAGUGUGAUAAGCA